Molecule: unclassified non-coding RNA, 280 nt
Filed under: Hevea brasiliensis (rubber tree)
Lineage: Eukaryota; Viridiplantae; Streptophyta; Magnoliopsida; Malpighiales; Euphorbiaceae
Source: RNAcentral
GGAGAAGCCAAAUGUAUUGUCCAAUAUUAGCAAUAAGGUAUCAUUAAUAAUCACUGAAUCUCAUAUACUGUUUAUAAAACCAAAGUAUUGCCUGUCUUAGUACUAUUCCUAAAAUAUGCAUGUUCAAAAGCAACAAGAUUCAAUUAGAAAUGAAUUUCCAAGAUCUAGAUUCAUGUUCAAAAGCAAAUAGGUUUAUAAAGAAUUUUUUUCUUCUUCUUCUUAAGAUAAACAAGAGGGAACUGGAAGGGGUGAAAAGGUUACCUUAUCAGUAAUCCAUAGC